This 604-nucleotide ribosomal RNA is filed under the name uncultured archaeon. RNAcentral's name for it is "bacterial SSU rRNA". It matches the Rfam family "Archaeal small subunit ribosomal RNA", at positions 335 to 940 of the family's 1478-position model. The record is from RNAcentral.
GCAGUCGCGAAAACUUCACAAUGGGGGCAACCCCGAUGAGGGAAUUCCUAGUGCUAUCACAAUUGUGUUAGCUUUUCUCUAGCGUAGAUAACUAGAGGAAUAAGGGCUGGGAAAGACGGGUGCCAGCCGCCGCGGUAAUACCUGCAGCCCAAGUGGUGGUCGAUUUUAUUGAGUCUAAAACGUUCGUAGCCGGUUCGAUAAAUCCUUGGUUAAAUUGGGGGGCUUAACCUUCCGUCUUCCGAGGAGACUGUCGAACUUGGGACCGGGAGAGGCUAGAGGUACUUCUGGGGUAGGGGUAAAAUCCUGUAAUCCUAGAAGGACCACCGGUGGCGAAGGCGUCUAGCUAGAACGGAUCCGACGGUGAGGGACGAAGCCCUGGGUCGCAAACGGGAUUAGAUACCCCGGUAGUCCAGGGUGUAAACGCUGCAGACUUGGUGUUGGAAGUCCUUUGGGGGCAUUCAGUGCCGGAGAGAAGUUGUUAAGUCUGCUACUUGGGGAGUACGUCCGCAAGGAUGAAACUUAAAGGAAUUGGCGGGGGAGCACCGCAACGGGAGGAGCGUGCGGUUUAAUUGGAUUCAGCACCGUAAAACUCACCAGGGAAGAC